CCCUUAGAUGUUCUGGGCCGCACGCGCACUACACUGAUGAAUGCAACGAGCUCUACCCUUGACCGAAAGGCCCGGGUAAACUUGUGAAACUUCAUCGUGAUGGGGAUAGAUUAUUGCAAUUAUUAAUCUUCAACGAGGAAUUCCUAGUAAGCGCGAGUCAUCAGCUCGCGUUGAUUACGUCCCUGCCCUUUGUACACACCGCCCGUCGCUCCUACCGAUUGGAUGGUCCGGUGAAAUCUUCGGAUUGCUGACCAAGAUCCAGCAAUGGAGCUUGGUUGCGAGAAGUUGAUUAAACCUUAUUAUUUAGAGGAAGGAGAAGUCGUAACA
RNAcentral lists this ribosomal RNA (327 nucleotides) under uncultured eukaryote. RNAcentral describes it as "partial 18S ribosomal RNA". It matches the Rfam family "Eukaryotic small subunit ribosomal RNA", at positions 1470 to 1796 of the family's 1831-position model. The record is from RNAcentral.